CCUACGGGUGACAGCAGUGAGGAAUAUUGGUCAAUGGACGAGAGUCUGAACCAGCCAAGUAGCGUGAAGGAUGACUGCCCUAUGGGUUGUAAACUUCUGUUAUAUGGGAAUAAAAUGUGCCACGUGGGGGAUGUUGUAUGUACCAUAUGAAUAAGGAUCGGCUAACUCCGUGCCAGCAGCCGCGGUAAUACGGAGGAUCCGCGCGUUCUCCGGAUUUAUUGGGUGUAAAGGGAGCGGAGGGGGAUUGUUAAGUCCGUUGUGCACGGUUGCGGCUCCACCGUAAAAUUGCAGUUGAAACUGGCAGUCUUGCGUACAGUAGCGGUGGGCGUAAUUC
This 334-nucleotide ribosomal RNA is filed under the name uncultured bacterium. RNAcentral describes it as "partial 16S ribosomal RNA". It matches the Rfam family "Bacterial small subunit ribosomal RNA", at positions 338 to 669 of the family's 1533-position model. The record is from RNAcentral.